UCGCGGCUUAUCACCGGCAGUCCCCUUAGAGUGCCCAACUAAAUGCUGGCAACAUGCGACGGGGGUUGCGCUCGUUGCGGGACUUAACCCAACAUCUCACGACACGAGCUGACGACAGCCAUGCACCACCUGUGAAAGUGCCCCGAAGGGAAGACGUGUUUCCACGUCGGUCACUCACAUGUCAAGCCGAGGUAAGGUUCUGCGCGUUGCAUCGAAUUAAACCACAUGCUCCACCGCUUGUGCGGGCCCCCGUCAAUUCCUUUGAGUUUCAACCUUGCGGUCGUACUCCCCAGACGGGGUACUUCCUGCGUUAGCGCCGGCACCCAGAGGGUCGCUCCCCCAGGCACCUAGUACCCAUCGUUUACGGCGUGGACUAC
RNAcentral lists this unclassified non-coding RNA (377 nucleotides) under uncultured bacterium. RNAcentral describes it as "contains 16S-23S intergenic spacer region". The record is from RNAcentral.